This 497-nucleotide ribosomal RNA is filed under the name uncultured bacterium. RNAcentral's name for it is "partial 16S ribosomal RNA". It matches the Rfam family "Bacterial small subunit ribosomal RNA", at positions 28 to 507 of the family's 1533-position model. The record is from RNAcentral.
GACGAACGCUGGCGGCGUGCCUAAUACAUGCAAGUUGAGCGAUGAAGAUUGGUGCUUGCACCAAUUUGAAGAGCAGCGAACGGGUGAGUAACGCGUGGGGAAUCUGCCUUUGAGCGGGGGACAACAUUUGGAAACGAAUGCUAAUACCGCAUAAUAACUUUAAACAUAAGUUUUAAGUUUGAAAGAUGCAAUUGCAUCACUCAAAGAUGAUCCCGCGUUGUAUUAGCUAGUUGGUGAGGUAAAGGCUCACCAAGGCGAUGAUACAUAGCCGACCUGAGAGGGUGAUCGGCCACAUUGGGACUGAGACACGACCCAAACUCCUACGGGAGGCAGCAGUAGGGAAUCUUCGGCAAUGGACGAAAGUCUGACCGAGCAACGCCGCGUGAGUGAAGAAGGUUUUCGGAUCGUAAAACUCUGUUGGUAGAGAAGAACGUUGGUGAGAGUGGAAAGCUCAUCAAGUGACGGUAACUACCCAGAAAGGGACGGCUAACUACGUG